RNA transcript from Alosa alosa (allis shad), 1653 nucleotides. RefSeq lists it as uncharacterized. NCBI's taxonomy places the organism in Eukaryota, Metazoa, Chordata, Actinopteri, Clupeiformes, Clupeidae. The record is from RefSeq and is a predicted model, not a curated record. The transcript is spliced from 6 exons.
UCUUAAAAGAUAACUCUUAUGGUAACUCUUAUGUCUGAUCACCAUUCUUGUUUUACUCAAGCUUACGCAUCUAACUUAAGUUAACAAUAAAUGUACAAACAUAGCAGAUAGUUGUCUUGUGUCAUACUUUACAUUACAUGAAACUUCAAUACAACGUUAUGGGAAAUAUUUGGUUUAGUGGUCUCUUGACUGUUUUGGGAAUUCCGUUUACUCAGGGUAGGAUUCAGGUGGAGCUCCACGAGGCAACCAUUGCCAUCACAGAAGAAAAUGGACUCUCUUUUAAACUGAAUGUCAGAGUAAAACAAGGCAACAACUUUCUUUCUGCAAGCUUUGACAUUGCUAUGAAGAUUGAAUUUGAGGGAAACCGCCUGGUUCUGGUCUCUACAGAUGUCAAGUACAACACUAACAUCCUGUGUAGUACUGUAUGGUAUUGUACAUGCUGCACUGGUAUUGGUAAUAACUUGCUGUAAAACUUUUUCAGGUGUGAUGUUCAAUCUGGCUGGUCUCGGAUAAUUGUAAAUUAUGGCGUGACACGGGGGCUUAGAAACUACUUGGACAGACUACCAAUACCUCUACCUGAAGGAAUGAGCUUCACUGCGACAAAUAUUGAAUAUCAUGAUGGCUACUUGGUGCUGAGAGGAAACAUGAACUACACUCUAUAAGGUGGAAAGAAACAUGCACCAGAAGCUUGAUGGUGCUCCUCUGAACUGACACUUUUGUUCAAAGCGAUUUAUAAAAUAAAACAAUACAAUAUAAAUUAACAGUAAACAGAGGUGUGGACUCAACUCACAUGGCUCAUUGAGUCAUUGGCGCCGCCAGACGUAAUACUCUACUGUGCAUACAUCUUUUCAACACUUUAUCAUUCAAUCAUUUAGUAUUAGGCCUACAACAAUAAAAAUAGCUUGUGUAAUGUCUUGAUUGAAACAUGCCUAACAACGAUAGCCUAUGUUUGGGGCAAAAAGAGCUUGCGUACCCCCACCAUCCGACACAUAAAAAACGUAACACCUGGACCGCGCCAUUGCACUGCUGAAAAGGGCAAUAGAUUGUACUGAGAACUCUGCCUUUCUACACCAUCAGCUGGCUCUGUGCUACAAGAGGAAGACGGACCUGCUCCAUGGAGACGCAAGGGGCAGAGGGCAAGAGGUCAGACAGCUCAUCGGACAGUGCAUGUACCACCUGCAACUGGCCAUCACUCUGAGGUCAGACUUCCUUUUAGCCAAGGCUGACCUUGCACUCCUCUAUGGGAAGAAUAAGGAGAUGUUCAAGACCAUAUUAAAAGAGGCUGAGGAGAAAACUGACAUGCUUCAGAUUAUACACCAUUACGUGUACGCUUUGGGAAAAGCUUUGUGCCCUCUGCAAUAGCAGCACUGAACAACAGGUCACAGCGGUGAUGGAUCACUGUGCCGCCCUCAUUCCUCUGUAAUGCCAACUGGUGAUGGUUUUCCUGUUUGUAUCUGUGUAAUGUGAUGUAUAUGUGCUGUAUAUGUGCUGUUGUGAUAUAUGUGCUGUACAUAUGCUGUUAACAUCUAUGUGGGUGGGGUAUGUGGUGACAGGGUGGUGGGUGAAGCACCGUAACUGUGUGUACCUAUGUAUUUCAUGUUUGUGAGGCUUGUACGGUAUGUGAAAACAAAUUUCCUAUGUAAGGACAAAUAA